GAACCAGUGCUUUAGAAACUCCACACAGUUAAGCAGUGUGUCUGCUUACUGUCUGUUAUAUAACUUUAGACCCAAGGACAAUGCUUGACAGAGUCAGUAUUCAAAAAUCUGUCCAAGGUGCCUUUGUUUGGUGCUCUCCGACGAGGAGUGUUUGAGCAAUAUAUGCACAAGGUCUCUUCUAACAGCCGCCAAAACUUGAAUUGGAGAUGCUAGAGAGGAAGAUGUAGAAAAUGGGCAAAAUAUCAGCCUGAUACCAUGAGGAUGAAUGAGAGAGAGCUUACCCUUGCCUCUCCACAACCAGGGCAGCUUGGUGAUUUUGGACCCAGUCUGAAAAUGUCGAAACUGAGCUGAGACUUAUUUCCGUUGAGCAUUUCUCAAAGUAUGACAUAUGUGGCAGCACUUGAGAUGAUUUUAGGGUGUGUGGACAAACUUUGUUAUCAUGUCAAUUAUAGAUAUAUCUAAUGACCAUAGAAAAUGAGAUCCGUCCCUUAAAUCUCUGCCAUCUGCCUUGUAUAUUGUUUUUCCAGAAUGAAGCCAAGUAAAAACAGUGAGACUGAAUAAUUGUAC
Molecule: long non-coding RNA, 567 nt
Filed under: Mus spretus (western wild mouse)
Lineage: Eukaryota; Metazoa; Chordata; Mammalia; Rodentia; Muridae
Description: RIKEN cDNA 4930405D11 gene (ENSMSPG00010029007.1)
Source: RNAcentral